GACGAACGCUGGCGGCGUGCCUAAUACAUGCAAGUAGAACGCACAGUUUAUACCGUAGCUUGCUACACCAUAAACUGUGAGUUGCGAACGGGUGAGUAACGCGUAGGUAACCUGCCUGGUAGCGGGGGAUAACUAUUGGAAACGAUAGCUAAUACCGCAUAAUAUUAAUUAUUGCAUGAUAAUUGAUUGAAAGAUGCAAUUGCAUCACUACCAGAUGGACCUGCGUUGUAUUAGCUAGUAGGUGAGGUAACGGCUCACCUAGGCGACGAUACAUAGCCGACCUGAGAGGGUGAUCGGCCACACUGGGACUGAGACACGGCCCAGACUCCUACGGGAGGCAGCAGUAGGGAAUCUUCGGCAAUGGACGAAAGUCUGACCGAGCAACGCCGCGUGAGUGAAGAAGGUUUUCGGAUCGUAAAGCUCUGUCGUAAGAGAAGAACGGGUGUGAGAGUGGAAAGUUCACACUGUGACGGUAUCUUACCAGAAAGGGACGGCUAACUACGUG
This 505-nucleotide ribosomal RNA is filed under the name uncultured bacterium. Its description in RNAcentral is "partial 16S ribosomal RNA". It matches the Rfam family "Bacterial small subunit ribosomal RNA", at positions 28 to 507 of the family's 1533-position model. The record is from RNAcentral.